CAGUCGCCGCGGUAAUACGAAGGGGGCUAGCGUUGCUCGGAAUUACUGGGCGUAAAGGGAGCGUAGGCGGACAUUUAAGUCAGGGGUGAAAUCCCAGAGCUCAACUCUGGAACUGCCUUUGAUACUGGGUGUCUUGAGUGUGAUAGAGGUAUGUGGAACUCCGAGUGUAGAGGUGAAAUUCGUAGAUAUUCGGAAGAACACCAGUGGCGAAGGCGACAUACUGGAUUAUUACUGACGCUAAGGCUCGAAAGCGUGGGGAGCAAACAGGAUUAGAUACCCGGGUAGUCCCUGUCUCUUAUAC
RNAcentral lists this ribosomal RNA (301 nucleotides) under uncultured bacterium. RNAcentral describes it as "partial 16S ribosomal RNA". It matches the Rfam family "Bacterial small subunit ribosomal RNA", at positions 509 to 807 of the family's 1533-position model. The record is from RNAcentral.